UCAGGCGGGAUUACCCGCUGAGUUUAAGCAUAUCAAUAA
RNAcentral lists this ribosomal RNA (39 nucleotides) under Dobinea vulgaris. RNAcentral's name for it is "partial 26S ribosomal RNA". Lineage: Eukaryota; Viridiplantae; Streptophyta; Magnoliopsida; Sapindales; Anacardiaceae. The record is from RNAcentral.